This 101-nucleotide non-coding RNA is filed under the name Skeletonema dohrnii. Lineage: Eukaryota; Bacillariophyta; Thalassiosirophyceae; Thalassiosirales; Thalassiosiraceae. The record is from RNAcentral.
CAAACCAAAUGUGGAUUGUCGGGACGUGUAACAAUCAAUGCUCUGCUACCACCAUUUUGUUGAAAGAUUCUAGCCAAAUUUUGGAAUAGACGAGACUGGUC